GGGCGGCUUCGGCGGGGGGCGGCCCGGAGCGGCGGCGCGGCGCUGAGCUGAGCUGAGCUCCUGCCGGGCCCUCGUCGUGUGUCCGCAGAACCAACCGAGGAGGAAAGCGGGCGAAAUGAAAGCGAAACCUCUCGUGUCUGAGCGCUGUGCGGUUCUCGUGGCCCCCGGUCGGGUGCAGCGCUGCUUUGCGAGGUUGCUAAAAAGGCCUCGUAUUUGCUGCUUCUGGGGUGUUUGGUUUCUAAUGGGAGCUCCAAGCGUUGCAUUGCUGUUUAGCAAUGAAAACAGCGAAGCGUUGUUACCCCUGGGUCAGGUGCUCCUUGUUGCAGCCGGGAAGCACUGCGGGUAUUUCCACCAUAAGCACUUCAAAGACAACACCAUUCCUCCAUUACAUGUCUCUCCUCCUGCCUAGCAUCCUUCUCGCAUCGUGACAGUCCCACCAGCUGUUCCUCCAUCCAGUGGCCUUCCUCACUCACCCUCUGUAUGGGCUGUCUUCACUGAUGCAUGCUCGGUAGGAGGAUGCCAAGUCUAUUUCUAAAAACAUGCUAUAAAAUACAUCGUGGCCUUCUUCUUCAAAUCAACAUGGAGCUUCCUCAAGAACCUGCCCUAAAAUCAGGUACCGGCGCUGGGUGGGAGCGGGUGGGAUCCCGGUGCUGGCUGCUGCCCAUGGCUGUUAGCUGAAACCAUCCCGGCCUGGCCGUGCUGCCCUGCUGCCAGCACGCGGCGAUUGGGUUACUGUGCUGGGAUAGUUUGCUGCAGGAACUCAGCCAGGUGCUGCUGCCGGGUAACUGAUCCAAAGCUCCGCGGCGCUGUGAUGGUUUUGCCAGCUGAUCCUCCGGGCACACAGGUCCCGGACAGCAGCACACCGAGCUGGGGUCUGAGUGCAGCCUGGGGCGGCAAUCUGCAGCCCUGCACUGCACUCCUGGGCCGUCACCAAGAGCCGUUUUUGUCCUCCUGAUCAUAGCACGCAUUCUGCACAGCUCUGGGUACAGCUGUGGGUUUGGGAUGUUGGAAGGAACCGUACAUGUUUGGUGCAAUGCUGUGCUUGCCUGGGACCCUUGGGGCUGUGCCACGUCUGCACAGCAGAUCUGCACCCUGCUCUGCUCCCAGGCCUCCUGGGCUGUGCUGGGAGAAAGACAGCAGCAGAGCAUUCAGCCACAGGUUGCAGCCAUGCCGACGACCAACCAAGGCUGGCCAGAGGCGUUUGGCUUCUCUCUGGGUGGCAGCGGGCCCUGCUACGUGCUGUGGGUGCAGGAGGGCAGCAGUGCAGCAGCGGCAGGGCUGCGACCGGGCGACGAGGUGCUGGAGC
Molecule: long non-coding RNA, 1306 nt
Filed under: Gallus gallus (chicken)
Lineage: Eukaryota; Metazoa; Chordata; Aves; Galliformes; Phasianidae
Description: lncRNA (ENSGALG00010022703.1)
Source: RNAcentral